CUCCUUCUCUCUGGGGUUGACCAUCUGGGAUUCAUCUGCACGAUCGUUGCAUUGACUGAAUCCCAUCCGUGGGAAAUGAAAUGUUGUACCAGUCUCCCCAACGUACUGUAUCCCACAGGUGGAGCAGGAGAUAACAUAAAUGCAGUUUUGAGAGUGGGGGCUCCCCCUGCAUAGAGACGGAAACACAUUUUUGUUGUGGUGGCUGCAAAUCCAAUCCAAAUGUUUGAAAAAAGAGGCUGGCAGAAAUCUGUGCUCCUCGAGCAGCCCCUGGCUCUGAACAAGAUCCCGGAAGUUCCUCCUGAGGACUCUCACCAUCCUGCACGUGGCUGCCGAAUGUGUUGUGACAAUGGGUAAAAGGGGGGCUGUAUC
This is a non-coding RNA of Oryzias latipes (Japanese medaka), 369 nucleotides long. Lineage: Eukaryota; Metazoa; Chordata; Actinopteri; Beloniformes; Adrianichthyidae. The record is from RefSeq and is a predicted model, not a curated record.